Molecule: non-coding RNA, 122 nt
Organism: Marmota flaviventris (yellow-bellied marmot)
Lineage: Eukaryota; Metazoa; Chordata; Mammalia; Rodentia; Sciuridae
Source: RefSeq, a predicted model, not a curated record
AUGUGGUGCUGAGGAUCGAACCCGGGCCGCACGCCUGCCAGGUCCUUUUAUCUACUGUACAUCUUUGAAGAUUGUGAACUGUGGCUUUAAUAAACUUUCUGAUUGCUACAUCAUUUCUAUUU